UAUUUACUUUCUCUAUUUUUGAUGCUAUUUCUUGAAUCUUUAUUAAAGAUUAUAUACUUUAUUUAGUUUAGUUUAGUUGUUUUAUUUGUAAUUCCUAAUGGAUUUUUUUUUUUUUUUUUUUUUUUUUUUUAGGCAUGUGAAGAACAUUAGGACUGAAAAGGAUGAGAGUGAUAUCAGGAAGAUUGUGUCUUCAAAAGUAAAGACCAUAGGAGAACCCAGAACCAGUGGAACUUGCUACUUAACUACUCUAAGUUGUGAGCUGCCAACUAUUACCAAGGCCACCUGUUUGCAUGAAUUGUGUUCAUAAAGUCAAACAUGUUGAAGAAGAUAGGAGGGAAAUAUUCUUGCUAUGGACUUCAUUGUGC
This 365-nucleotide long non-coding RNA is filed under the name Vulpes vulpes (red fox). RNAcentral's name for it is "lncRNA (ENSVVUG00000005885.1)". The record is from RNAcentral. Lineage: Eukaryota; Metazoa; Chordata; Mammalia; Carnivora; Canidae.